Molecule: ribosomal RNA, 501 nt
Filed under: uncultured bacterium
Lineage: Bacteria
Description: partial 16S ribosomal RNA
Rfam family: Bacterial small subunit ribosomal RNA
Source: RNAcentral
AUUGAACGCUGGCGGCAUGCCUUACACAUGCAAGUCGAACGGCAGCACGGGUGCUUGCACCUGGUGGCGCGUGGCGAACGGGUGAGUAAUACAUCGGAACGUACCUUAUCGUGGGGGAUAACGCAGCGAAAGCUGUGCUAAUACCGCAUACGCCCUGAGGGGGAAAGCGGGGGAUCGCAAGACCUCGCGCGAUUAGAGCGGCCGAUGCCUGAUUAGCUUGUUGGUGGGGUAAAAGCCCACCAAGGCGACGACCAGUAGCUGGUCUGAGAGGACGAUCAGCCACACUGGGACUGAGACACGGCCCAGACUCCUACGGGAGGCAGCAGUGGGGAAUUUUGGACAAUGGGGGCAACCCUGAUCCAGCAAUGCCGCGUGAGUGAAGAAGGCCUUCGGGUUGUAAAGCUCUUUUGUCAGGGAAGAAACACCGGCUCUAACACAGUCCGGGAAUGACGGUACCUGAAGAAUAAGCACCGGCUAACUACGUGCCAGCCGCCGCCGUAA